CAGGCUUAACACAUGCAAGUCGAGGGGCAGCAUGGUCUUAGCUUGCUAAGGCCGAUGGCGACCGGCGCACGGGUGAGUAACACGUAUCCAACCUGCCGUCUACUCUUGGACAGCCUUCUGAAAGGAAGAUUAAUACAAGAUGGCAUCAUGAGUCCGCAUGUUCACAUGAUUAAAGGUAUUCCGGUAGACGAUGGGGAUGCGUUCCAUUAGAUAGUAGGCGGGGUAACGGCCCACCUAGUCUUCGAUGGAUAGGGGUUCUGAGAGGAAGGUCCCCCACAUUGGAACUGAGACACGGUCCAAACUCCUACGGGAGGCAGCAGUGAGGAAUAUUGGUCAAUGGGCGAGAGCCUGAACCAGCCAAGUAGCGUGAAGGAUGACUGCCCUAUGGGUUGUAAACUUCUUUUAUAAAGGAAUAAAGUCGGGUAUGGAUACCCGUUUGCAUGUACUUUAUGAAUAAGGAUCGGCUAACUCCGUGCCAGCAGCCGCGGUAAUACGGAGGAUCCGAGCGUUAUCCGGAUUUAUUGGGUUUAAAGGGAGCGUAGAUGGAUGUUUAAGUCAGUUGUGAAAGUUUGCGGCUCAACCGUAAAAUUGCAGUUGAUACUGGAUAUCUUGAGUGCAGUUGAGGCAGGCGGAAUUCGUGGUGUAGCGGUGAAAUGCUUAGAUAUCACGAAGAACUCCGAUUGCGAAGGCAGCCUGCUAAGCUGCAACUGACAUUGAGGCUCGAAAGUGUGGGUAUCAAACAGGAUUAGAUACCCUGGUAGUCCACACGGUAAACGAUGAAUACUCGCUGUUUGCGAUAUACAGCAAGCGGCCAAGCGAAAGCGUUAAGUAUUCCACCUGGGGAGUACGCCGGCAACGGUGAAACUCAAAGGAAUUGACGGGGGCCCGCACAAGCGGAGGAACAUGUGGUUUAAUUCGAUGAUACGCGAGGAACCUUACCCGGGCUUAAAUUGCAGAUGAAUUACGGUGAAAGCCGUAAGCCGCAAGGCAUCUGUGAAGGUGCUGCAUGGUUGUCGUCAGCUCGUGCCGUGAGGUGUCGGCUUAAGUGCCAUAACGAGCGCAACCCUUGUUGUCAGUUACUAACAGGUUCCGCUGAGGACUCUGACAAGACUGCCAUCGUAAGAUGUGAGGAAGGUGGGGAUGACGUCAAAUCAGCACGGCCCUUACGUCCGGGGCUACACACGUGUUACAAUGGGGGGUACAGAGGGCCGCUACCACGCGAGUGGAUGCCAAUCCCAAAAACCUCUCUCAGUUCGGACUGGAGUCUGCAACCCGACUCCACGAAGCUGGAUUCGCUAGUAAUCGCGCAUCAGCCACGGCGCGGUGAAUACGUUCCCGGGCCUUGUACACACCGCCCGUCAAGCCAUGGGAGCCGGGGGUACCUGAAGUGCGUAACCGCGAGGAGCGCCCUAGGGUAAAACUGGUGACUGGGGCUAAGUCAUAAC
Molecule: ribosomal RNA, 1445 nt
Filed under: uncultured organism
Description: 16S ribosomal RNA
Rfam family: Bacterial small subunit ribosomal RNA
Source: RNAcentral